UGUGCUGUGUGUUUGUUUUAGAUAACAAACAAAGGAACUGCACUUGCCCCUUUUUAGAUCCAAAAACCUUCAGUCAAUCAUACAAUCGCUCUCUAUUCAAUUCUUCUUUAAUCCCAAACACUUGAUAAUGGGUGUGGCGCAAAACAAUCACGACAUGGAGGAGGGGACGCUGGAGAUCGGCAUGGAGUAUAGAACUGUAUCUGGAGUCGCUGGACCUCUUGUUAUACUUGAUAAGGUCAAGGGACCGAAAUAUCAAGAGAUUGUUAAUAUUCGUUU
Molecule: unclassified non-coding RNA, 276 nt
Filed under: Hevea brasiliensis (rubber tree)
Lineage: Eukaryota; Viridiplantae; Streptophyta; Magnoliopsida; Malpighiales; Euphorbiaceae
Source: RNAcentral